This 244-nucleotide long non-coding RNA is filed under the name Oryza brachyantha (malo sina). RNAcentral's name for it is "long non-coding RNA (OBRA_LNC001009)". Lineage: Eukaryota; Viridiplantae; Streptophyta; Magnoliopsida; Poales; Poaceae. The record is from RNAcentral.
UCACGCCAGCUGGCCACCACCCUUCCUUCUCUCUCCUCCCCCCAACUCCUCGCGACGCUCUGCUGCUGCUGCUGCUGCUGCUGCUUCGCCUCCGCCUCCUCCUCCACUCUCUCUCUAGGGCUUUUGGGGGGAUCGAUCUGCCGCGCUCCCGUCCGCGAGAUCCUCCCCCCGCGCCGAUCCGAAUCUCGGGGAGCGCUGCGCUUCAAUGCGCCGCCGUUGAGCUAUGUUCGGGGGCGAUCGGCGG